UAGCUACCUUCUCGACUGUACCCUACCUAUCCCUUCUAACAAUCAACACAUUACAUACUAAUUUCUCACACAAAUUCUCAUUAAAAUAAGCAAAAAGGAUUCACAUCUUCAAUCUCAAUUCUCAAAUGAGCAAAAUCAGUGUCAACCUCAAAUCCUCAAUCUUAAAUUUUCUACUAAUUGUAAGCUUAUGGGUGAUUGAAAAUAUAAGGUAAAGUGAGUAUUUCAAUUUUUCCCUAUUCUUUUAUUUGUUGACUUUCUUGUUUAAUUUGAAGUUA
Molecule: long non-coding RNA, 275 nt
Filed under: Trifolium pratense (red clover)
Lineage: Eukaryota; Viridiplantae; Streptophyta; Magnoliopsida; Fabales; Fabaceae
Description: long non-coding RNA (TPRA_LNC012996)
Source: RNAcentral